This 161-nucleotide ribosomal RNA is filed under the name Thesium gracile. RNAcentral's name for it is "5.8S ribosomal RNA". It matches the Rfam family "5.8S ribosomal RNA". Rfam says of the family: 5.8S ribosomal RNA (5.8S rRNA) is a component of the large subunit of the eukaryotic ribosome. The record is from RNAcentral. Lineage: Eukaryota; Viridiplantae; Streptophyta; Magnoliopsida; Santalales; Thesiaceae.
UAAAAUGACUCUCGGCAACGGAUAUCUAGGCUCUCGCAUCGAUGAAGAACGCAGCGAAAUGCGAUACUUGGUGUGAAUUGCAGAAUCCCGUGAAUCAUCGAGUCUUUGAACGCAAGUUGCGCCCGCGGACUUUUGGCCAAGGGCACGUCUGCCUGGGCGUC